This is a long non-coding RNA of Glossina fuscipes, 1004 nucleotides long. RefSeq lists it as uncharacterized. The transcript has 3 exons. The record is from RefSeq and is a predicted model, not a curated record. Lineage: Eukaryota; Metazoa; Arthropoda; Insecta; Diptera; Glossinidae.
GGCAUAUUUAGUUUAUGCGGAUGUGUGCAGCAACUACGACUUGAAGUAGAUCCACCUUUUAUUAUACCAAUCGAUACGGGAUCGAUUUAGGCUUGUUUGUCUGUUUGUUGUGUUUUAUUCAACCUGCUGCCCGCAAAUUUUUCAGAUAUUUUGAUGAAACCUAAUAUAAUGAUGUGUUUUAGCAUUAUUGAAAAUAAUUUGGAUUGGACCACUUUCCGUAUGACGCAUUAUUUUGAAAAGUAAAUUUAUGAAUAAUUGCAAUAUGGUGUAGGGUAUUUGCCGAUGUGCCAUGCUCCACUAUACUGCUCUAAAUAUUUUAAUACAUUAAAAAUAAUCAUUUUAUUGAAAUUUUUAAGCAUAUAAAAGCAUACCAUUAAACAUUUUAUAAAAUUUUAAUUUAAAAAUUUUGAAAAAUAAACUGUCAAGAUGGUCGUUUUGGAAGAUGCUUUGACCGAGUCGGUCCCAAUGACCGACAGAAAAAGACGUGGCAGCCUUAUCUAAAGUUAAAAAUUCUACGAAAUCGUGCGCACCGACUUUCAAAAUCGAGUUUUGAGCAAAAAACAAUUAACAUUCGAGAAUCUAGUUCAGACUGCUACACGAAAAAAAGGAAUUUUUUGAAAUUCCAAAGAGAAUAUAACCUUAUACUUUGUGAGGUGCUGUAAUUAAUUCAUGUAAGUUCAACAAUAUUGGGCCAGCAAUUAAUUUAUUUUUAUUUUUUUCAUUUUGUAACAAAAACUACGCGGUAAGAGGCGCUAACAUGAACUUUUAUAUUGCUGUCGAUAUUGGUUCACACGCCGUUUUCGUUUAGAAACGAAUUCAGAAGAUUCCCAGUUAUAUUGCCUCCAACGCUUGUGCUCACAUUGAAAUAUGAUCCUCUUGGUGUCAUGACACAGGUGCACCUACACUCUGCAGCAGCCUACAGCAUCUUAUGCAACUGUUAAGUUUCUACAUUAAGAAAACGCUGAUACAAUCAAGUCUAUAAUCUCAAAAAGAAUGGAUGACCA